GACGAACGCUGGCGGCAGGCCUAACACAUGCAAGUCGAGCGAGCGGCGGACGGGUGAGUAAUGCAUGGGGAUCUGCCCGAUAGAGGGGGAUAACUACUGGAAACGGGGGCUAAUAACGCAUACUGUCGGAUGACCCAUAUGGGCUUAGCUAGUAGGUAAGGUAAUGGAGUACCUAGGCGACGAUCCCUUGCUGGUAUGAGAGGAUGAUCAGCCCCACUGGGACUGAGACACGGCCCAGACUCCUACGGGAGGCAGCAGUGGGGAAUCUUCCGCAAUGGACGAAAGUCUGACGGAGCAACGCCGCGUGAGUGAUGACGGCCUUCGGGUUGUAAAGCUCUGUUAAUCGGGACGCGGUACCGGAAUAGAAAGCCACGGCUAACUACGUGCCAGCAGCCGCGGUAAUAC
Molecule: ribosomal RNA, 405 nt
Filed under: uncultured bacterium
Lineage: Bacteria
Description: partial 16S ribosomal RNA
Rfam family: Bacterial small subunit ribosomal RNA
Source: RNAcentral